GGAUAACUUACCCUUAGGACUGGGAUAACUCUGGGAAACUGGGGAUAAUACUGGAUAUUAGGCUAUGCCUGGAAUGGUUUGCCUUUGAAAUGUUUUUUUUCGCCUAAGGAUAGGUCUGCGGCUGAUUAGGUCGUUGGUGGGGUAAUGGCCCACCAAGCCGAUGAUCGGUACGGGUUGUGAGAGCAAGGGCCCGGAGAUGGAACCUGAGACAAGGUUCCAGACCCUACGGGGUGCAGCAGGCGCGAAACCUCCGCAAUGUACGAAAGUGCGACGGGGGGAUCCCAAGUGUUAUGCUUUUUUGUAUGACUUUUCAUUAGUGUAAAAAGCUUUUAGAAUAAGAGCUGGGCAAGACCGGUGCCAGCCGCCGCGGUAACACCGGCAGCUCGAGUGGUAGCUGUUUUUAUUGGGCCUAAAGCGUUCGUAGCCGGUUUGAUAAGUCUUUGGUGAAAGCUUGUAGCUUAACUAUAAGAAUUGCUGGAGAUACUAUUAGACUUGAAGUCGGGAGAGGUUAGAGGUACUACCGGGGUAGGGGUGAAAUCCUAUAAUCCUGGGAGGACCACCUGUGGCGAAGGCGUCUAACUGGAACGAUCUUGACGGUGAGUAACGAAAGCCAGGGGCGCGAACCGGAUUAGAUACCCGGGUAGUCCUGGCCGUAAACGAUGUGGACUUGGUGUUGGAAUGGCUUUGAGUUGUUCCGGUGC
RNAcentral lists this ribosomal RNA (701 nucleotides) under uncultured archaeon. RNAcentral describes it as "bacterial SSU rRNA". It matches the Rfam family "Archaeal small subunit ribosomal RNA", at positions 102 to 801 of the family's 1478-position model. The record is from RNAcentral.